GACGAACGCUGGCGGCGUGCUUAACACAUGCAAGUCGAACGGCAAGGCCCUGCUUUUGUGGGGUGCUCGAGUGGCGAACGGGUGAGUAACACGUGAGUAACCUGCCCUUGACUUUGGUAUAACUUCAGGAAACUGGGGCUAAUACCGGAUAGGAGCUCCUGCUGCAUGGUGGGGGUUGGAACGUUUCGGCGGUUGGGGAUGGACUCGCGGCUUAUCAGCUUGUUGGUGGGGUAGUGGCUUACCAAGGCUUUGACGGGUAGCCGGCCUGAGAGGGUGACCGGCCACAUUGGGACUGAGAGACGGACCAGACUCCUACGGGAGGCAGCAGUGGGGAAUAUUGCACAAUGGGCGGAAGCCUGAGGCAGCAACGCCGCGUGCGGGAUGACGGCCUUCGGGGUGUAAACCGCUUUCGCCUGUGACGAAGCGUGAGUGACGGUAAUGGGUAAAGAAGCACCGGCUAACUACGUG
Molecule: ribosomal RNA, 468 nt
Filed under: uncultured bacterium
Lineage: Bacteria
Description: partial 16S ribosomal RNA
Rfam family: Bacterial small subunit ribosomal RNA
Source: RNAcentral